Molecule: ribosomal RNA, 252 nt
Filed under: uncultured microorganism
Description: partial 16S ribosomal RNA
Rfam family: Bacterial small subunit ribosomal RNA
Source: RNAcentral
UACGUAGGUCCCGAGCGUUGUCCGGAUUUAUUGGGCGUAAAGCGAGCGCAGGUGGUUUAAUAAGUCUGAUGUAAAAGGCAGUGGCUCAACCAUUGUGUGCAUUGGAAACUGUUAGACUUGAGUGCAGUAGAGGAGAGUGGAAUUCCAUGUGUAGCGGUGAAAUGCGUAGAGAUAUGGAGGAACACCAGUGGCGAAGGCGACUUUCUGGUCUGUAACUGACACUGAGGCGCGAAAGCGUGGGGAGCAAACAGG